RNAcentral lists this long non-coding RNA (255 nucleotides) under Lathyrus oleraceus (garden pea). RNAcentral describes it as "Pisum sativum (pea) long non-coding RNA (PSAT_LNC040494)". The record is from RNAcentral. Lineage: Eukaryota; Viridiplantae; Streptophyta; Magnoliopsida; Fabales; Fabaceae.
UAAAUUAUAAUGUAUCGAUAUUUGAGUUUUUUAAAAUCUGAAAUUCUAAAAUAUAACGCAUUAAUAUCAUAAUAUGUUGUUUAAAAAAAACUUACAAUGAAAAAUAGAAAUAAAGAAAAUGACAGUUUUUAUGGACAAAUAUAUGUUAAAUUUAUGGAAAAAAAACAAAUUUUGAAAAUAACGUAGAGCUACUUUUGCUAGAAACGUAUAACCUAUUAGGUGGAUACAUGGGAAAAGAGCUAUGUUCGCUUUGAA